Molecule: ribosomal RNA, 268 nt
Filed under: Escherichia coli
Lineage: Bacteria; Pseudomonadati; Pseudomonadota; Gammaproteobacteria; Enterobacterales; Enterobacteriaceae
Also listed under: 6 other names
Description: partial 23S ribosomal RNA
Rfam family: Bacterial large subunit ribosomal RNA
Source: RNAcentral
CUCCUAGUACGAGAGGACCGGAGUGGACGCAUCACUGGUGUUCGGGUUGUCAUGCCAAUGGCACUGCCCGGUAGCUAAAUGCGGAAGAGAUAAGUGCUGAAAGCAUCUAAGCACGAAACUUGCCCCGAGAUGAGUUCUCCCUGAGACUUAGAGUCUCCUGAAGGAACGUUGAAGACGACGACGUUGAUAGGCCGGGUGUGUAAGCGCAGCGAUGCGUUGAGCUAACCGGUACUAAUGAACCGUGAGGCUUAACCUUACAACGCCGAAG